CCUGGUUGAUCCUGCCAGUAGUCAUAUGCUUGUCUCAAAGAUUAAGCCAUGCAUGUCUAAGUACACACUUUGGUAAAGUGAAACCGCGAAUGGCUCAUUAAAUCAGCUACAUUUUAUUAGAUCGUACACUGUUACUUGGAUAACUGUGGGAAUUCUAGAGCUAAUACAUGCCGAGAGUCUCUGCUCUUCGGGGCAGAGCGCAGUUAUUAGACCAAAACCAGCCGUAUUCUUCGGGGUACGCUCUUUUGGUGACUCUGGAUAACCUUCAGCCGAUCGCAUGGCCUCGUGCCGGCGACGUAUCUUUCAAGUGUCUGCCCUAUCAACUUUCGAUGGUACGUGAUAUGCCUACCAUGGUGAUAACGGGUAACGGGGAAUCAGGGUUCGAUUCCGGAGAGGGAGCCUGAGAAAUGGCUACCACAUCCAAGGAUGGUAGCAGGCGCGCAAAUUACCCACUCCCAGCUUGGGGAGGUAGUGACGAAAAAUAACAAUGCGGGACUCUAAGAGGCCCCGUAAUUGGAAUGAGUACACCUUAAAUCGUUUAACGAGUAUCAAUUGGAGGGCAAGUCUGGUGCCAGCAGCCGCGGUAAUUCCAGCUCCAAUAGCGUAUAUUAAAGUUGCUGCAGUUAAAAAGCUCGUAGUUGGAUCUGGGGCUUGAGGUCGCUGUCUAUCGUUUCGGCGAUGACGGUGAUGCUCAGCUCUGCUUGCCGGUGACUGUUGCGGUGUUCUUCACUGAGCGCUGUAGCAGCACGGCACGUUUACUUUGAAAAAAUCAGAGUGCUCAAAGCGUGCUUGUCGCUUGAAUAAUGUUGCAUGGAAUAAUGGAAUAGGACCUCGGUUCUAUUUUGUUGGUUUUCGGAGCUUGAGGUAAUGAUUAAGAGGGACGAACGGGGGCAUUCGUAUUGCGGUGUUAGAGGUGAAGUUCUUGGAUCGCCGCAAGACGGACUACUGCGAAAGCAUUUGCCAAGAACGCUUUCAUUAAUUAAGAACGAAAGUCAGAGGUUCGAAGACGAUCAGACACCGUCCUAGUUCUGACCAUAAACGAUGCCGACCAGCGAUCCGUAGUGGUUGCUUUAUGGACCCUACGGGCAGCCUCCGGGAAACCAAAGUAUUUGGGUUCCGGGGGAAGUAUGGUUGCAAAGCUGAAACUUAAAGGAAUUGACGGAAGGGCACACCAGGAGUGGAGCCUGCGGCUUAAUUUGACCCAACACGGGAAAACUCACCCGGUCCGGACACCGUAAGGAUUGACAGACUGAUAGCUCUUUCUUGAUUCAGUGGAUGGUGGUGCAUGGCCGUUCUUAGUUGGUGGAGUGAUUUGUCUGGUUAAUUCCGAUAACGAACGAGACUCUAGCCUGCUAAGUAGUG
Molecule: ribosomal RNA, 1362 nt
Filed under: metagenome
Description: SSU rRNA
Rfam family: Eukaryotic small subunit ribosomal RNA
Source: RNAcentral